Folsomia candida is the source of this 4406-nucleotide long non-coding RNA. RefSeq lists it as uncharacterized. The transcript is spliced from 6 exons. Lineage: Eukaryota; Metazoa; Arthropoda; Collembola; Entomobryomorpha; Isotomidae. The record is from RefSeq and is a predicted model, not a curated record.
AACACUUAGCUAGCAACACUACAUGUUUUAGUAACACAUAUUUAUCUGAAUCAUUAUUGAAAACAUUAAAAAUUAGAUAACCAAUAUCAAAACGAAAUGGCCAAGUGUGUCGGUAUAUAUGUAAAAUUAACCCCACCACCCGAGGAGCGGGAGUGGGCAUGGAGAACAAUUCCUUUAGAGGAACGUGAAAACUCAUCCUUUAAUCCGAUCACGUGGGGAAUUCAGCAGAAAUUUAUUCCAUCCCUGGAAGGUCAGUCGCAAUUUGGAAGGAAACUUAACAAAUUUGUGCAUGACAGGGAGCAACAAGCCAAAUUGUACUCAGAUUAUGACAUAUCUCCAAUAAAAACUUGGACUUAUCAUCUAACACAACCAAUCAAAAUUACGGGGCAAGAAGUACAUGAUGCAAUUAAGGAAGAGAAAAAUUACAUUGCAACCGUCUCGGAACAUCGAGAGCCUUGGGAAAUUAUGGAAGAAGCGAUGAACCGAACUGAAAUUCAGGAAUGGUUAAACAGUGGAAAAACCUUAUUUCGUGGCUCCCAGCGACCCUUAAACAUCAUCAUGCGGCAACCCGAGUAUAAAAUCCGAUGGAGACGGGUUUCCUCACAAAUUUCCGACAUGUUUAUCCCACCUGAAGAUAUUUACUAUUCUGACGACCAAGAGUAUCAGGAGCGUACCGCUCUUGAAAAAAUCACAGAGGACAAAGUCCUCCAAUGUAACUCAGGUCAGAGGAGGGCACAAAUUUCAAAAAUAAAAAUAAUUAUGGUAAGUUCGACAUGACGGACCACGUGGGCGGUGAUGCGCGUCUAUGGUGAAACUUUGGUCAUGGCUUGACAUACUCGGGCAAAUUCUUCGUUGGAUGGGUUGGUGGUGGUUGCGACACUGUACACUCUUACGUAGAAAUCCGGUAUUACCAAGCGGUAGCAGCUUUAAAACCUGCCUGCCUAAAUCCUAUUUCUUGCAGUGUAGAUAACCCAGUUAUGACAUGAGUGUAACCUGGCGCACGACCGGAAGUAACAAGUGCCCCUUCUGCUCUGUACGACGGCGCAACUGACGUAUUUAUUCAUACGUCCAUCUCUCUGACCGUAGAUUGGUCACGCACACACAAAAAGAGAACGCAGAGCCAUCCUAGCACAGAAGAGAGGGCCCCGGUGACCAAUGAAUCCUAGUCCUUUGUCGGUUACAAAAUAGGGAAUAUUUUAGUUAAUCUGUUGGAUAUUUUUACCUAGGAGAGAAUGCCAUGCGAGUAAAAAUUUACGGGAUAUUUUAUAUCGAUCUUACAUCCAACAUUCGGUAAUGUCUCGGAAACAAUAUCAUAUUAUUUAUGUACAUAUAUACAUAUACAUAUGUAUUAACGGGCACCUUCAGAUAUACAUAUAUACAUACAUAUUUAAAGACUAUUUAUUUAUCUUAGAGUGGUCAAAAAUGCAAACCAUAAUAUUUAUCAUUGCUUAUCAUGGCUACACUUUGAAUAAAGUUGGGUAAAAUUUACGCAAAGUUUAGCAAAGUAGAGCAUGAAAUAACAAUUGGAUGAAAUUUGCCCAAGGGCUGGAUAUAAUUUGAAGAAAUGUUGUGUCAUUAGUUAUUUUUAAUUUCUCAGCUAACUAGUUUUAAUGCAAUUUUAUUUAGAGUGUAUAGCUUUCGAAAUAUUGAAGUUCAACGUGACUAAUUGUAUCUUACACAUAUUUUAUACUAGCGAAUAAGCACGUCUCCCGCCGGGCGACCGGCUUAUUUGAUUUUUGUGAAAAUUAACCGGCUUGUUCAUAAUUCCACCGAAUUAUUAUUUUUAUUUUAUCUAUAUUAUUAGCUGGAAACGACUAUUGGCAAGGGAAUUUUUCUCCACUUUCACUCCCGUCACGGAAAAUUACUUUCACUUCCGUUGCAGACAAACAUUUCUAGCUUAUAAUAUAGAUUUAGAUAUCUCUACCAUUCCGAGAUAGACUAUGGUCAGAACUGUGCCCAAGUUGGAAUUGAAUUCAAGACGAAGACGUUUUAUUUGAAUGAAAAAGAAAAACAAGGCAAUUUUUUGGAAUCGAGUUGGUUUUACAGGUACACCCUUGAAAAUAAUGUCACAUUUAAAAAAAAUAAAUGCACUCUCAAUUCUAAAUUAAUUACGAUGGCUUGAUUUACUGUACAAUUACUCUGGAUUUAGUAUUUAAUAUCGAAUUCAGAGUGCAUUUAUUUGCACAUUUCAGAAUGGAAACUUAAGAUUUAAGUGUGUAUUAUGAUAAUUAAGAUUUUAAAUUUCCAAAAGCUUUCCCUCGACUAAAUGAUAAAUUUUAGCACUUUUUUGAAAUAAAUAUAUGUAUAGGUACAAGCUGAAAGAGAUUUAUUGCAAAGCACUACUCUCAGGAUUGAAUACGGCAGUCUCUGCGAUAGUGCAAGAAGAAGAAACGGACCGAUCAGGACAAGCAGGACCAAUCACUACCAGCAACUUUGUCAUUAAAACUAUGGAGUUUUACAGUACACCUGAAAUUGCUAGAACUGCAGAAGAGAGGGGAAUUUGGACCAAGGCAGAAAACCAACAAGGGUUGGAAAGAUUUCAGACAUUCUUGAGGUCGGAUAAAUAUAUUGCAGUGACUGGUAACCCUACAACGACCUCGUUUGAAAUUGUUUGCAAGAAAACUCGCUGGGGCAACACUAGGGUUACGAUAAGUCCAUCCACAUAAGACAAUCACGCACCAAAAUACUUAAAACAAAUAUGUAAACGAAGAUGCAUUCUAAACAGUCCGUUUAAAAUGUAUUACUAUGUGGUAUUUAUACCUGUGUAUGUAUGUUACUCCAGUGCCCAAACUUGCCUGGCCCGGCCCUGGGAACUUUUCCUGGCCCGGCCCCAUUUAAUAAUUUACCAGUGAAUACAGAUCACUUAAAGAAGGAUGAAGAUAUGGUUAUUGUUUCAGUAUAGGGAAAUGGGGUUCCAAAUGCUGUGAUUGGCUGACGGUUUUUAUGGGCAUCCGCCCAUAAAAACAGGGCCGUGGCACAACUCAAUUUUUCCCAAUCUCAAUGUCCCCAUUACUUGGAAAUCUCACUCCUUUCUUGGCACCAAAAUCAGGUGUCUCCUUUACCAUCAUUCUUGCUGCCAAACUCGCAAAAGCUGAGUAAUUAAAAGAUUAUUUAAUAUCCUACAAAUUAAUUUUCUGACAUCCACUCAAUUACAUAAAUCGCUUCAACUCACCACAAGUUCAGCUCUAAACUUCAACUCAAGUAAUUACUAUUUUCUUUUAGCAAUGAACGGUGGGGACGCAAAUAUGGUGGUGACACGUUCAUUUUUACGAGUGAUUUCGAUGUUAAUUUAUUGUGGUUUAUUGGUAUAGGUAACUGCUAACGACAAUUUUUCAUCGAUUAAUUUUGCGACCUCUCUGCUGUGCCCUCACCAGAAAUCUGUGUCAUCGCCGGCCAAACUGACUCAAUUACCAUGAGAUGUUGCUCGUGACCUGGUAACAGUGUGAAAUUGUCGGAAACUUCUUUAAAGUUUACCAGAUAUAACAUUUGUGCAGAUUGUUUCCCAAUUUUGUGAUCUUUUACCCCUGCAUCCACCAGAAAUCCGUGUCUUCGCCAGUCAAUUUAUCCAAUCUAUCAGUGUGUAUCUAGAACUAAGACAAUAAUGAACGGUGGAGACACAUAAAUAUGGCUACCAAGAUGGUCAGAAUAUUUAUUUGGAUGUAACAAAUCAUCUUUUCAACAUGGUCCGAAAUAAAAAAUGCUGCGUUCCUAACUGUCAUAAUUCAUUAAAUGAAGAAGAUCACAAUUCGUACUUUUUCAGUCUGCCAAAGUGCCCGAAGAGGUGUCAGGAGUGGUGUGACAUUCUCGACAUCGAUAAGGAAAACGUGUCACCUAAAACGAUUGUAUGCAGCAAACAUUUUCAUCCACCUCCAAAACAUUGCAGACUUGUUAAAGGAGCUUUGCCGAUUGCUCCACCUCCCUUCGUGUCUUCACCAUCGUUUGUGUCUCCACCGAUGGGGGGUGGGGUGAAUCAUCAGAAGCUUUCCCCCGAGGUGAAGAAGAAGAUUAAGAGUAUAAGAAAUAAGCUUUACUACAGGAGGAAGAAGAAGGACCAGAACCUUAUUAAACUCCAGCCAGAGCGGUGAAGACGCAGCUUGAGGAAUGGUGGCCAACAGUACGCCAUCGUCAGACUUUGAUUUCUUCGCGUCCUGGUCGCGUUGACGGGCCCUCCUUCUAGUUUUGUGAUGCAAAACCGUUUUCACAUUCUCCAGCUCGUCAAGGUCACAAAUGUGGAGCAGGCGUUUGAUGAGGCCGACUCUUUAUUCUCCUCGUGCAGUCGAUGCCCAAGCCACCGCCUCAUCUUGUACCGUCCAGUCUCCCAUGAUUUCGACAAGGUGGUUGGUCAAGGCUUAAAAAAUAAUUACAAAUAAUUUAAGCAAUUAAUAAAAAAUACCAUUGCAAAGGAG